This 1017-nucleotide ribosomal RNA is filed under the name uncultured bacterium. RNAcentral describes it as "bacterial SSU rRNA". It matches the Rfam family "Bacterial small subunit ribosomal RNA", at positions 355 to 1375 of the family's 1533-position model. The record is from RNAcentral.
UGAGGAAUAUUGGUCAAUGGACGAGAGUCUGAACCAGCCAAGUAGCGUGAAGGAUGACUGCCCUAUGGGUUGUAAACUUCUUUUAUACGGGAAUAAAGUGAGUCACGUGUGGCUUUUUGUAUGUACCGUAUGAAUAAGGAUCGGCUAACUCCGUGCCAGCAGCCGCGGUAAUACGGAGGAUCCGAGCGUUAUCCGGAUUUAUUGGGUUUAAAGGGAGCGUAGAUGGAUGUUUAAGUCAGUUGUGAAAGUUUGCGGCUCAACCGUAAAAUUGCAGUUGAUACUGGAUAUCUUGAGUGCAGUUGAGGCAGGCGGAAUUCGUGGUGUAGCGGUGAAAUGCUUAGAUAUCACGAAGAACUCCGAUUGCGAAGGCAGCCUGCUAAGCUGCAACUGACAUUGAGGCUCGAAAGUGUGGGUAUCAAACAGGAUUAGAUACCCUGGUAGUCCACACGGUAAACGAUGAAUACUCGCUGUUUGCGAUAUACUACAAGCGGCCAAGCGAAAGCGUUAAGUAUUCCACCUGGGGAGUACGCCGGCAACGGUGAAACUCAAAGGAAUUGACGGGGGCCCGCACAAGCGGAGGAACAUGUGGUUUAAUUCGAUGAUACGCGAGGAACCUUACCCGGGCUUAAAUUGCAGAUGAAUUACGGUGAAAGCCGUAAGCCGCAAGGCAUCUGUGAAGGUGCUGCAUGGUUGUCGUCAGCUCGUGCCGUGAGGUGUCGGCUUAAGUGCCAUAACGAGCGCAACCCUUGUUGUCAGUUACUAACAGGUUCCGCUGAGGACUCUGACAAGACUGCCAUCGUAAGAUGUGAGGAAGGUGGGGAUGACGUCAAAUCAGCACGGCCCUUACGUCCGGGGCUACACACGUGUUACAAUGGGGGGUACAGAGGGCCGCUACCACGCGAGUGGAUGCCAAUCCCCAAAACCUCUCUCAGUUCGGACUGGAGUCUGCAACCCGACUCCACGAAGCUGGAUUCGCUAGUAAUCGCGCAUCAGCCACGGCGCGGUGAAUACGUUCCC